RNAcentral lists this ribosomal RNA (256 nucleotides) under uncultured bacterium. RNAcentral's name for it is "partial 16S ribosomal RNA". It matches the Rfam family "Bacterial small subunit ribosomal RNA", at positions 524 to 776 of the family's 1533-position model. The record is from RNAcentral.
UACGUAGGGCGCAAGCGUUAUCCGGAAUUAUUGGGCGUAAAGAGCUCGUAGGCGGUUUGUCGCGUCUGCCGUGAAAGUCCGGGGGCUCAACUCCGGAUCUGCGGUGGGUACGGGGCAGACUAGAGUGAUGUAGGGGGAGACUGGAAUUCCUGGUGUAGCGGUGAAAUGCGCAGAUAUCAGGAGGAACACCGAUGGCGAAGGCAGGUCUCUGGGCAUUAACUGACGCUGAGGAGCGAAAGCGUGGGGAGCGAACAGG